GGGAAAGAUGAAAUAACUAUGAAAAACUAACAUACAAACAGCAAAGAUCAACCGUUUUACCUCUUGAAUCAUGAUUUAGCGAGAACAACCAAGCAAAACGAAUUUAAGCUGGCCACUCCGAAACCCAAGUGAACUACUCGCAAGCAACUAUCUAAGCGAACCCGUCUCUGUCGCAAGAGUGCGAUGACUUGCUAGUAGAGGUGAGAAGCCAACAGAGCUGAGUGAUAGCUGAUUGCCUGCGAAACGAAUCUAAGUUCCCUCUUGACUAUUCUCUAAGGACACCUAGUCUAACCUCCCACGUAACUGGCCAAGAGUAAUUUAAAGGAGGUACAGCUCCGUUAAAAAAGAAUGCAAUCUCCCCCAGAGGAUAACUCAACCUUGCACAAAUCCUGUGGGCUUUAAAGCAGCCAUCAACAAAGAGUGUGUCAAAGCUUGACACCCAAAAAUUCAAGAACAAUAUGACUCCCUUCUCACUAACAGGCCAACCUAUGACAAAAGGAGGAUUAAUGCUAAAAUGAGUAACUACGGGUCACCCCUCUCAUGCGCAAAAUUACAUGCAACAGCAACAGCUGUUACUGCCAACCCAGGAGCGCUCACUAGAAAGAUUUAAAUCUGUAAAAGGAACUAGGCAAACCCAAGGCCCAACUGUUUACCAAAAACAUAGCCUUCAGCAAACCAAGUCUUGAAGGUGAUGCCUGCCCAGUGACACCAUGUUCAACAGCAGCGGUAUCCUAACCGUGCGAAGGUAGCGCAAUCAAUUGUCUCAUAAAUUGAGACUUGUAUGAAUGGUUAAAUGAGGUCUUAACUGUCUCUUACAGACAAUCAGUGAAAUUGAUCUCCCUGUGCAAAAGCACGGAUAAACACAUAAGACGAGAAGACCCUGUGGAACUUAAAAACAUAGGGCCACCUCACAGUAACCCCUCCUGCUUACCAGGCCCACCUUACUACAUACACUGGUCUGUAUUUUUUGGCUGGGGCGACCUUGGAGAAAAACAAAUUCUCAAAAAAUAGGACCACACCUCUUAACUAAGAGCAACCCCUCAAUGUGCCAGUAGUAAUCAGACCCAAUAUAAUUGAUCAAUGAACCAAGCUACCCCAGGGAUAACAGUGCAAUCUCCUUCAAGAGCCCAUAUCAACAAGGAGGUUUAUGACCUCGAUGUUGGAUCAGGACACCCUAAUGGUGCAGCUGCUAUUAAGGGUUUGUUCGUUCAACUAUUAACAGUCCUACGUGAUCUGAGUUCAGACUGGAGCAAUCCAGGUUGGUUUCUAUCUAUGACAGGACUCUUCUCCGU
RNAcentral lists this ribosomal RNA (1292 nucleotides) under Buceros rhinoceros silvestris. Its description in RNAcentral is "Bacterial large subunit ribosomal RNA". It matches the Rfam family "Bacterial large subunit ribosomal RNA", at positions 531 to 2669 of the family's 2925-position model. The record is from Rfam by way of RNAcentral. Lineage: Eukaryota; Metazoa; Chordata; Aves; Bucerotiformes; Bucerotidae.